GCUAAUAUCUUGAAGCUAAAAAGCAAGGCUUAAUUGCGACAGAUGCUGCAAAUUCCAGUGCAAAAGGCCAGCUCCUAUGUGAUCUAAACCAGGGAGGCACAUCCAGACCUGGAGAAGAGGACCACAUGUUGCCGAGAGAUGGAAACAUAUUUGCUCUCAUAGCAGUAGAAUUGUUGGCUGUGUGCUCAACAUGACUCAGCUCAACAUGAUUCAGCUGCCCGAGCUUCUGCUCUACACAGACAUGUGGUUGUGAUCUGAAUCCUCUUGGACCAGACAGCCGAAGGCCAUACCCCAGAGGCGAUGAAGACAAAGCAGAAGGAGGCUGGCUCCUCGGAUAAUCUCCUGAAAGGGAGCUGCCAUGCCAGCCAGAUGGCAAGGGAGAAUUAAACCUUAUGUGUUCAAGCCACUUUUGUUCUGUCGAACGCUUUCAAGCCUGAGCUCAGUUAAUACUCAUGGCAACUAAUUUGAGUCAGACUUCCUACUGUUAAACCAGCCUUGCAUUCCUCUGGUAAAUCUACUUGGGUCAUAAUAUUUUGUGUUUUGCUUGUAUGCAUGUUUCACAUUGCCGGAUUUAAUCUUUAGAUUAUUAUUUAUGAUUUUUACUAUGAUCAUAAAUGAAUCUAGCCUAUAACUUGCCCCUUCUUGUGCUGUCCUUUCCCAAUCUUGAUUAUCAAAGUGAUUUUAGCUUCACUAGAUGAUUUGGGCAGGUGUUUCUUGUUUCUAGUUUCUGAAACAGUUGAUUCAGAAUCGCGAUGUUAUACUUAUCAAAUAUUUCAGAGACCACCCUCUAAAAUUCGUGGAUUCUGAUGAUAUAUUUUAUGUGUAUAUUUGGAAUUAUCUUUAAUGGGCAGGGAUUUGUUUUUCCAGAUAGUUAUGUUUACUUUUUUGCUUCUGUUUUUAAAAACCAAAUGAUGGACUUUGUUUGGAUUUCACCAGGUUUCCUGCUAAGGUACUUGUUAUGAGCCAGGACCCAGUCCCGGAUCCCACAGGGAUUUUGUUUUCUCAUGAUUACAUUGUGGUGGUGGAUUUGGGGGGAGGGAGUUCUAUGGCCUCGAUGCUGUACGUCAGGGAGCCUGGGCUGGUGCCACAGCUUGUAGCAGUGACAUUAACCUUCAUCUCUGUCAGGGUUUACACUGCAAAAUCGCAAUUUUUCCGUUUGUAUUUGAGGAAUGCUUUAAGGCUGCCCAAACAUCCCAUUUCUCCGUAAGCUUUUACCCGCUAAUUCUAGCUUCCAUGGGUGGAUCUUGCCUACAGCGGUUAUCACCACGGUUUUGUAGAGGUGAUUUUAAAAUUGCCAUCCAUCCAACCAUUUUAUGUGUAUUAAUCGGAAUAUUACCGUGAAGA
Herpailurus yagouaroundi (jaguarundi) is the source of this 1344-nucleotide long non-coding RNA. RefSeq lists it as uncharacterized. Lineage: Eukaryota; Metazoa; Chordata; Mammalia; Carnivora; Felidae. The transcript is spliced from 3 exons. The record is from RefSeq and is a predicted model, not a curated record.